CAGAAAACGCCCAGUGUCAAAGUUCAGCGAUCAACACCCAGAGUAAGGUGAUAUGCCUCAGCAAUGGAGAAGCAGCACAGAAAAUGAGCACAUGGAAAGGUGCUGAUGUGUUCCCUCACACCACGCCGCAGGUCCAUUUCUCUCAGGCCCCGAGGUGUAAAUAGGAAUGUUCUGGCUGAAUUCACAGCGUCUCCAUAACCACACAUUGGUCAGCCAUCAUCAUCAUCCUCCGUUAGGACGAGUCUGAACUGGAAGAGAUAAGGGUGGCAGGUCGGUGUCAGUGAGGUAAAUCCAGUCUGAGUCAUGUUCAGAAGUCUGACUAACCACAAACAACCUGCCAUCUGUCAUUCGCUUGCUACAAAUUCAUUAGUGUCACAUUGAUGAGUCUGUUAUGCUGAUGUGAAGAUAUCAGAGGCGGGUGAGC
Molecule: long non-coding RNA, 424 nt
Organism: Danio aesculapii
Lineage: Eukaryota; Metazoa; Chordata; Actinopteri; Cypriniformes; Danionidae
Exons: 3
Source: RefSeq, a predicted model, not a curated record